This 274-nucleotide ribosomal RNA is filed under the name uncultured bacterium. RNAcentral's name for it is "partial 16S ribosomal RNA". It matches the Rfam family "Bacterial small subunit ribosomal RNA", at positions 523 to 796 of the family's 1533-position model. The record is from RNAcentral.
AUACGGAGGGUGCAAGCGUUAUCCGGAUUCAUUGGGUUUAAAGGGUGCGCAGGCGGACUUGUAAGUCAGUGGUGAAAUCCCGGGGCUCAACCUCGGAACUGCCAUUGAUACUGCAAGUCUUGAGUUUGGUUGAGGUGGGCGGAAUGUAGCAUGUAGCGGUGAAAUGCAUAGAUAUGCUACAGAACACCGAUCGCGAAGGCAGCUCACUAAACCAACACUGACGCUCAGGCACGAAAGCGUGGGGAGCGAACAGGAUUAGAAACCCCAGUAGUCC